GCAGUGGUGGUUCAGGGGUAGAAUUCUCGCCUUCCAAACAGGAAAUCCGGGUUCGAUUCCUGACCAGCGCA
This 71-nucleotide transfer RNA is filed under the name Loxodonta africana (African savanna elephant). It matches the Rfam family "tRNA". Rfam says of the family: Transfer RNA (tRNA) molecules are approximately 80 nucleotides in length. Their secondary structure includes four short double-helical elements and three loops (D, anti-codon, and T loops). Lineage: Eukaryota; Metazoa; Chordata; Mammalia; Proboscidea; Elephantidae. The record is from Rfam by way of RNAcentral.